CUACGGGGGGCAGCAGUGGGGAAUCUUAGACAAUGGGCGCAAGCCUGAUCUAGCCAUGCCGCGUGAGUGAUGAAGGCCUUAGGGUCGUAAAGCUCUUUCGCUGGGGAAGAUAAUGACGGUACCCAGUAAAGAAACCCCGGCUAACUCCGUGCCAGCAGCCGCGGUAAUACGGAGGGGGUUAGCGUUGUUCGGAAUUACUGGGCGUAAAGCGCGCGUAGGCGGACUGUUAAGUCGGGGGUGAAAUCCCGGGGCUCAACCCCGGAACGGCCUUCGAUACUGGCAGUCUGGAGUUCGAGAGAGGUGAGUGGAAUUCCGAGUGUAGAGGUGAAAUUCGUAGAUAUUCGGAGGAACACCAGUGGCGAAGGCGGCUCACUGGCUCGAUACUGACGCUGAGGUGCGAAAGUGUGGGGAGCAAACAGGAUUAGAUACCCGAGUAGUC
RNAcentral lists this ribosomal RNA (439 nucleotides) under uncultured bacterium. Its description in RNAcentral is "partial 16S ribosomal RNA". It matches the Rfam family "Bacterial small subunit ribosomal RNA", at positions 339 to 795 of the family's 1533-position model. The record is from RNAcentral.